RNAcentral lists this non-coding RNA (45 nucleotides) under Schistosoma mansoni. Lineage: Eukaryota; Metazoa; Platyhelminthes; Trematoda; Strigeidida; Schistosomatidae. The record is from RNAcentral.
AUUGAGGUGACGAGUCCCAAAUAGGAGGAAACGUAUGUCAUGGAU